RNAcentral lists this transfer RNA (69 nucleotides) under Ophiura albida. Its description in RNAcentral is "transfer RNA-Leu(UUR)". It matches the Rfam family "tRNA". From Rfam's summary of the family: Transfer RNA (tRNA) molecules are approximately 80 nucleotides in length. Their secondary structure includes four short double-helical elements and three loops (D, anti-codon, and T loops). Lineage: Eukaryota; Metazoa; Echinodermata; Ophiuroidea; Amphilepidida; Ophiuridae. The record is from RNAcentral.
UUUAUAGUAGUUAAAAAGAUAACAAAAGACUUAAAAUCUUUAAUUGGAAGUGAAAUUCUUCCCUAUAAU